GGGCCCGCACAAGCGGUGGAGCAUGUGGUUUAAUUCGAUGAUACGCGAGGAACCUUACCAGGGCUUAAAUGGGAAAUGACAGGGGCAGAGACGCCCCCUUCUUCGGACAUUUUUCAAGGUGCUGCAUGGUUGUCGUCAGCUCGUGCCGUGAGGUGUCAGGUUAAGUCCUAUAACGAGCGCAACCCCUACCGUUAGUUGCCAGCGAGUCAUGUCGGGGACUCUAACGGGACUGCCGGUGCAAACCGUGAGGAAGGUGGGGACGACGUCAAAUCAUCACGGCCCUUACGUGUUGGGCUACACACGUGCUACAAUGGUAUCUACAACAGGAAGCAAGACUGCGAAGUUAAGCAAAUCCUUAAAAGAUACCUCAGUUCGGAUUGCACUCUGCAACUCGAGUGCAUG
This 402-nucleotide ribosomal RNA is filed under the name uncultured bacterium. RNAcentral describes it as "bacterial SSU rRNA". It matches the Rfam family "Bacterial small subunit ribosomal RNA", at positions 917 to 1322 of the family's 1533-position model. The record is from RNAcentral.